GGGGAAUAUUGGACAAUGGGCGCAAGCCUGAUCCAGCCAUGCCGCGUGGGUGAAGAAGGCCUUCGGGGUGUAACGCCCUUUUGUUGGGAAAGAAAAGCAGCCGGCCAAUACCCGGUUGUUCUGACGGUACCCAAAUAAUAAGCACCGGCUAACGUCGCGCCAGCAGCCGCGGUAAUACGUAGGUGGCAAGCGUUGUCCGGAAUUAUUGGGCGUAAAGCGCUCGCAGGGGGUUUCUUAAGUCUGAUGUGAAAGCCCACGGCUUAACCGUGGAGGGUCAUUGGAAACUGGGAGACUUGAGUGCAGAAGAGGAAAGUGGAAUUCCAAGUGUAGCGGUGAAAUGCGUAGAGAUUUGGAGGAACACCACUGGCGAAGGCGACUUUCUGGUCUGCAACUGACGCUGAGGCGCGAAAGCUUGGGGAGCAAACA
Molecule: ribosomal RNA, 426 nt
Filed under: uncultured Caryophanales bacterium
Lineage: Bacteria; Bacillati; Bacillota; Bacilli; Caryophanales
Description: bacterial SSU rRNA
Rfam family: Bacterial small subunit ribosomal RNA
Source: RNAcentral